This 326-nucleotide long non-coding RNA is filed under the name Mytilus galloprovincialis (Mediterranean mussel). The record is from RNAcentral. Lineage: Eukaryota; Metazoa; Mollusca; Bivalvia; Mytilida; Mytilidae.
CUUUUUAUAAAAUUUAGAAAGGAAAUGGGAAAUGUGUCAAAAUGUGUCAAUAACCCGACCAUAGACCAGACAACAGCCGGAGACCACCAAUGGGUCGCAAUAUAAGUUUUACAAUAGCACAAUAAUGGAAUGUAAAAGCAAAAAUUAAAGACAAGAAUACAGAAAUAUCAUAAACAAUAAUGACAGGAUAUAUAAGUACCACAAGUAUCCGAAUCACAAUAAAAAACAAAAAAAAUAUUUAACUGAAGCACAAAAAGCCAUAAAUCAAGUUCAUUGCUUUCUUAUAAGCAAAAAUGAAAGCAUGAACUGUUUAUGUGUAUAACCUC